GCCUGAGCGGGGUAAAGCCAG
RNAcentral lists this small nuclear RNA (21 nucleotides) under Arabidopsis thaliana (thale cress). RNAcentral describes it as "snRNA_05649". The record is from RNAcentral. Lineage: Eukaryota; Viridiplantae; Streptophyta; Magnoliopsida; Brassicales; Brassicaceae.